GCCAGGGUUGCGGAAUCUGGUUAACGCGCCGGUCUUGAAAACCGGUCCCUCACGGGAUUUAGGGUUCAAAUCCCUACCCUGGCG
Molecule: transfer RNA, 84 nt
Filed under: Microcaldota archaeon
Lineage: Archaea; Nanobdellati; Microcaldota
Description: tRNA-Ser
Rfam family: tRNA
About the family: Transfer RNA (tRNA) molecules are approximately 80 nucleotides in length. Their secondary structure includes four short double-helical elements and three loops (D, anti-codon, and T loops). Further hydrogen bonds mediate the characteristic L-shaped molecular structure. tRNAs have two regions of fundamental functional importance: the anti-codon, which is responsible for specific mRNA codon recognition, and the 3' end, to which the tRNAs corresponding amino acid is attached (by aminoacyl-tRNA synthetases). tRNAs cope with the degeneracy of the genetic code in two manners: having more than one tRNA (with a specific anti-codon) for a particular amino acid; and 'wobble' base-pairing, i.e. permitting non-standard base-pairing at the 3rd anti-codon position.
Source: RNAcentral